UACAGAGGGUGCGAGCGUUAAUCGGAUUUACUGGGCGUAAAGGGCGCGUAGGCGGUGAAAUGGGUGUGAUGUGAAAGCCCCGGGCUUAACCUGGGAAGUGCAUCGCAAACUAUUUGACUGGAGUAUAUGAGAGGGUGGCGGAAUUUCCGGUGUAGCGGUGAAAUGCGUAGAGAUCGGAAGGAACAUCAGUGGCGAAAGCGACUUCCUGGACCAGUACAGACGUUCAGGCACGAAAGCGUGGGGAGCAAACAGG
RNAcentral lists this ribosomal RNA (253 nucleotides) under uncultured bacterium. RNAcentral describes it as "partial 16S ribosomal RNA". It matches the Rfam family "Bacterial small subunit ribosomal RNA", at positions 524 to 776 of the family's 1533-position model. The record is from RNAcentral.